GGCACCUCACCUGGUGGGAAAAGUUCCUGGGAGCAAAUGCAUGCACAAAGAACAAAGGCAAAUACUCACAUCCCUUGCAACUUUGCUGCCCAGCACACUCCUUCUCCGUGCUGGCUAUCAUUGUGCCCAAAAGAAUGACAAAAUCAUUUGAUGGACAGUAGACAGAUAUGCAUUAUUCACAG
This 182-nucleotide long non-coding RNA is filed under the name Felis catus (domestic cat). RNAcentral describes it as "lncRNA (ENSFCAG00000048528.1)". Lineage: Eukaryota; Metazoa; Chordata; Mammalia; Carnivora; Felidae. The record is from RNAcentral.